AUCACUACACAUAUAUCAUUUAUAUUUUAUCUCAUAUUAAAUUAAAUGUAAUUAUAUAACAUAAAUUUAAAUUUAAACUUAUUGCAUAUAUAUCUUUAUAUAUUAAAAGUGCCUAUCUAACGGCAAUUCUUGGUUUAACAGAAUAUGCUUUACAAAUAAAAGAAUAUUCUGUUAAAUUUAACCCCAAAAAGAAUCGUCCACCAUUUUUUUAAACUUUCCUUUUAACGCCGUUAACUUUCCUUUCCUUUUCGUUGAAUCGUUUUCUCACUCUCAAUUGGAGUCGACGAUUGAAGAAUAGUCUGCAUAUCAUCUUUCUUCUUCUGCUGCCUCCAGAUGCAUCGCCCAAGAACUUCAUCCUGGUCUUUUCGUUUAAUCGUCUUCUCACUCUCAGUUGGAGUCGACGAUUGAAGAAUAAGUGUAUCAUCGUUCGAUGUUUUUUUUUUUGUUCUUUUAAAUUAUGUAUUUUGGGAAUGAAUAAGUCUAUCGUUUUACAGUGUUGGGACUUGGUAUGAAGGUGGAGACCAAUGGCUAACCAUGCAGGAAAAGGAGUCCUCUCAAAUGGGUUUGUGUAUGUUCGCAAUUUGCGUGAUGAAACUUAGAGGAAAAAUUAAUCUUUUCAGAGUUCUUAAGGGAAGAAUUUUGUUCUGAGAUUAAUUUUUGAAUCCAUCACAGAAGAUCGAUAUAUAAGCUUACAUUGGACAAGAUCGUUUAAGGUGGAGACCAAUGACUUCAUGACUAUGCUAAUCUUCUCUGUUGAUUCGAUUUCUGAUGCGAAAAAUUCAAGCUUCGGAGAUUAUAUUCAAGUUACAAUAUCGGGAUUGCUUGUUUGAAAUAUCGAUGAUCUCAAACUGGGGUCUUCAGUUCCUUUAAUGGACUCUCUUCUCUUAUUGUUGGAACAUCAUCAUUAUUAGCCUGUUUAAUACUUCGUCCAAGAGACUUUGAAGACUUAAUCUUUAUGCUCCCAGCUUUCUUGGACGAAUUCCCAAGUGUACUCAAUGUAGCUUCAAGCAAAGAACUAGCACUAUCUUCCAUCUUCCCUUUCUUGUGCCCACGUUUGUGUUUCAUCUUCUUAUAAUCAAAUUAUUAUGCUAAAUUACAAUAAAAACCAGAAUCCAAACCAAAGUUCAGUAAUUUAAUCAAUUUAGCUUUUUAAUUAAUUUCUAAAAGACAGUCUUUUUCAGGUUCUCAUCUGCUUCGAAAUUGCCUAAUAAGUUUACCUCAGAAUCUAAUAUUGUGUCAUUCAUUAAAUCCUCUUUGGAUCAACCAGAAGGCGCAUCUCAUUGUUGGUUGAACAAAUUGGAAGGGAGCAACAAUGUCUUUAAAAAAAAUGGAAACUACUUAGUACUCGCUGGACAAUUUUCUGAAAGUUCUUUCACAAAUGAGUUUGAAGCUGUUACAUUUUUUGAAAAAGUAAAGUUACUUCAACAAAGAUUUCCUCAGCUCCACAUUAUCAGUUUUCAGUCUGGCAGUUUAAUUUGUUCUGCAGCCGGCAGAAGUAAUUUAGUCCAACUAAUAGUGAAAGAAAACAUUUUCUUUCCCAUUUUGUUAUCUAACAAGAACUUUCCUGAAGUGGGGAAUGGUGUAUGCCACAUAUUAUUUAAACAUUUUAAGAAUCCAAUUUUUUAUCACGAGAAGGACCUUAAUCUUGAAGUUCUUAGUAAAG
This is an RNA transcript of Cannabis sativa, 1663 nucleotides long. RefSeq lists it as uncharacterized. Lineage: Eukaryota; Viridiplantae; Streptophyta; Magnoliopsida; Rosales; Cannabaceae. The record is from RefSeq and is a predicted model, not a curated record. The transcript is spliced from 5 exons.